AACCAGACUCCUACGGGAGGCAGCAGUGAGGAAUAUUGGUCAAUGGCCGGAAGGCUGAACCAGCCAAGCCGCGUGAAGGACGAAGGUGCCAAGCAUUGUAAACUUCUUUUGUCAAGGGACAAAAUCAGGCUCGAGAGCCUGACCGAGGGUACUUGAAGAAAAAGCAUCGGCUAACUCCGUGCCAGCAGCCGCGGUAAUACGGAGGAUGCGAGCGUUAUCCGGAUUUAUUGGGUUUAAAGGGUGCGUAGGCGGAUUGUUAGGUAGGGGUUAAAGGCCGGGGGCCCACCCCCGGCGAGCCGUUGAAACUGGCUGUCUUGAGAUGUCGAGAGGUAUGCGGAAUGCGCAGUGUAGCGGUGAAAUGCUUAGAUAUUGCGCAGAACUCCGAUUGCGAAGGCAGCUUACUAAACUAUAACUGACACUGAAGCACGAAAGCGUGGGGAUCAAACAGGAUUAGAUACCCCAGUAC
RNAcentral lists this ribosomal RNA (466 nucleotides) under uncultured bacterium. Its description in RNAcentral is "bacterial SSU rRNA". It matches the Rfam family "Bacterial small subunit ribosomal RNA", at positions 329 to 793 of the family's 1533-position model. The record is from RNAcentral.